RNAcentral lists this long non-coding RNA (1798 nucleotides) under Macaca fascicularis (crab-eating macaque). RNAcentral describes it as "lncRNA (ENSMFAG00000060685.1)". The record is from RNAcentral. Lineage: Eukaryota; Metazoa; Chordata; Mammalia; Primates; Cercopithecidae.
UUGCCUGUAAUAAAUAAAUUACGUGAUUAUUGGAGUACAUUGGGGUAAAAGUAAAGAACAGUGGAGUAUUGAGGAGCUUGAAAUGGAACAUUCAAUCUAAAGCCAAGCCUGAAGAUAACUUGAAUCAGUUGUAAAAGUGUGUUGGCAAUGUCCAAAAUUGAAUGAAAAACAUCUGGCUUAUAAGCAAUGUUAGAGAACUACCAUCUUAAGUAAAAUUGGUGUUUUUGUUAUUUUUAAGGUAAAUGCCAGUGCAAAAGGUAUGUUUUUCUACUUCACAUGGGUUUUCUUUUCCUGUUUACAUCUGGACUUGUUUUUUACUGAGAGCCAGAGGAAAAGAUAAUUAGACUUUGUCUCUUCCACCCAUGAAAUCCCUGCAGUACCCAGGGCUGCUUCUGAGCUACUGCUGAUGUGAUGUCACUUUGUAUUAGGAAAACCAGUUGGGGGUCCAUUUACUAUUAUUCUGUUGCCUACAAAAACAGCCAGGUGAAAGGUAAAUCUUGUGUGAGAGUUUGCGGAGGUUUUUCUAAACAAUAAAGUAAUACAGCACACUAGCCAAAUCCAUCCAAAAGGACUUUUUUUUUAAGGAAGUAGACUUGAAUUCACGAAACAGUCUUGACAUGGGUAGGUGGUGAAAGUCCUCUGGAGAGCAAGUGGAGCCAGUCCCCAUUGGCUGACAGUGCCACCUGGAGCUGGUCCCCGGGGUGUUUGGUUGUUUAUUCCUGAGGAGGACUAACUGCUGCUGCUGCUGCAAACUGGACUGUACACAUCAUGGCUGCUGGACACGAAGGAGGAGGUAAGAGAAGUUUCAUGCCACCAAAAUAGAGGGUGUUGGUACCACUGCCCCUGGUCUGAGAGUCAGGGUUUAAACCUGCCUCAGUAGAGACUAGUUUGAAAUGACACCAAAAUUCCCCAGCCCCUACUCAGCAAUUGGUUUUGGUUUCCAAAUGACUUCCGCAUUUGUAAAGAUAACAGAGUGGUGGGGUCAAAGUUUAUCUUGUGUUUAGAUCUCAAGACUGCUUAAGCAAAAACAAAAAUCCCUUGGAACUUAUCUUUUGAGCCUGUAAAGUUCUUUUAGCAGUUGUCAUAAAUGCAUAUGUUGUGAAAUCAGAACACUGUCGAGUUUAUACUCAUUUAGCUGCAAUGUGGGACAAUGAAAAAUGCUUUACAGGCCUUAAGUAUCAUUACUUAUGGUAUCUCCUGCUUUUAAAAUCUCAAGCAAUAUCUAUCUGGUUAAAUUCCAUUUUAGGAGAUUGAGAUGCAGAACGUUGAUGUUCAUUACCUCCUCCUACCCCAGGAGAAAUGGAUUCAGACAUGUCUUGUCUCAACAAGAAAUUGAUUUUUCUUUUUUUAACUAUGUCAUUCUGUUGCCAAAUAUCACAGAAGUAAUGAGGAGUUUAGUUACAUUUGGCUGUUGUGCUCUGAAAGAGCCAGGUUUGGAAUUUGUGGGGGUGAUCUAGGAAGAAGGUUCCAAAGAAGCAGAGGCAUUUGUCAAGUUACCUACCCUAUAUCCAGCAUCCUCCUCGUGAGCUUCAGUAGCUGCUCUUUGCCCACGCUUGUAUCCUACGUUUGCUAUUUGGGCAAACCAUUACUUCAGUUAUUUAACUUCCCUUUUUUUUUAACUUCACCUUUGACUGUGAACAAGUAACAUUAACAUUCCUUUUGUAUAUUCACUAAUGGCGUUAGUUUACCUAUUUUAUUUCAGAAUAUUUUGAACGAAGAUCUUUGUCUCUUUCUGCUGGAAUGCACACACAGUGAAUGUUUGUUAGAACUACACGCAAUAAAGACACUGUUUUCCUUU